GCUUAACACAUGCAAGUCGAGGGGCAGCAUGUCCAGCAAUGGAUGAUGGCGACCGGCGGAAGGGUGCGUAACGCGUGAGCAACAUGCCCUAUACAGGGAGAUACACCAGGGAAACUUGGUCUAAUAUCCCAUAUCAUUCAUUGAAGGCAUCUUUAAUGAAUUAAAGCUUCGGUGGUAUAGGAUUGGCUCGCGUGACAUUAGCCAGAUGGUGAGGUAACGGCUCACCAUAACAAUGAUGUCUAGGGGUUUAGAGAGGAACGCCCCCCACACUGGGACUGACACACGGCCCACACUCCUACGGGAGGCAGCAGUGAGGAAUAUUGGACAAUGGAUGGAAAUCUGAUCCAGCCAUGCCGCGUGCAGGAAGACGGCCUUAUGGGUUGUAAACUGCUUUUAUACGGGAGCAAUAAGGGUUACGAGUAAUCCGAUGAGAGUACUGUAUGAAUAAGGAUCGGCUAACUCCGUGCCAGCAGCCGCGGUAAUACGGAGGAUCCGAGCGUUAUCCGGAAUUAUUGGGUUUAAAGGGUGCGUAGGCGGCCAUUUAAGUCAGCGGUGAAAUUUUGCAGCUUAACUGUAACAGUGCCGUUGAUACUGUUUGGCUAGGAUUUGGUUGUAGUGUGCGGAAUGUGUGGUGUAGCGGUGAAAUGCUUAGAUAUCACACAGAACACCGAUUGCGAAGGCAGCACACUAAGUCAUUAUUGACGCUGAGGCACGAAAGUGUGGGGAUCAAACAGGAUUAGAUACCCUGGUAGUCCACACUGUAAACGAUGAUAACUCGCUGUCGGCGAUACACAGUCGGUGGCCAAGCGAAAGCAUUAAGUUAUCCACCUGGGGAGUACGACCGCAAGGUUGAAACUCAAAGGAAUUGACGGGGGCCCGCACAAGCGGAGGAACAUGUGGUUUAAUUCGAUGAUACGCGAGGAACCUUACCCGGGCUCGAACGGUGCAUGAAUAUACGAGAGAUUGUAUAGUCCUUCGGGACAUGUAUCGAGGUGCUGCAUGGUUGUCGUCAGCUCGUGCCGUGAGGUGUCGGCUUAAGUGCCAUAACGAGCGCAA
RNAcentral lists this ribosomal RNA (1056 nucleotides) under uncultured bacterium. RNAcentral describes it as "bacterial SSU rRNA". It matches the Rfam family "Bacterial small subunit ribosomal RNA", at positions 46 to 1101 of the family's 1533-position model. The record is from RNAcentral.